This 105-nucleotide non-coding RNA is filed under the name Clostridium pasteurianum. Its description in RNAcentral is "TPP sequence". It matches the Rfam family "TPP riboswitch aptamer (THI element)". From Rfam's summary of the family: Vitamin B(1) in its active form thiamin pyrophosphate (TPP) is an essential coenzyme that is synthesised by coupling of pyrimidine and thiazole moieties in bacteria. The previously detected thiamin-regulatory element, thi box was extended, resulting in a new, highly conserved RNA secondary structure, the THI element, which is widely distributed in eubacteria and also occurs in some archaea. Lineage: Bacteria; Bacillati; Bacillota; Clostridia; Eubacteriales; Clostridiaceae. The record is from RNAcentral. RNAcentral also lists the same sequence under 1 other name.
UUUUUUCAAAAGGGGAGCUUGUAAUGCAGGCUGAGAGGAAGUUUAAGCUUCGACCCAUAACUUGAUUCGGAUAAUGCCGACGUAAGGAAAUAUUUGAUUUAUGCU